AACGAACGCUGGCGGCAUGCCUAACACAUGCAAGUCGAACGAGACCUUCGGGUCUAGUGGCGCACGGGUGCGUAACGCGUGGGAACCUGCCCUUAGGUUCGGAAUAACUCCCCGAAAGGGGUGCUAAUACCGGAUAAUGUCUUCGGACCAAAGAUUUAUCGCCUUUGGAUGGGCCCGCGUUGGAUUAGCUAGUCGGUAGGGUAAAAGCCUACCAAGGCGACGAUCCAUAGCUGGUCUGAGAGGAUGAUCAGCCACACUGGGACUGAGACACGGCCCAGACUCCUACGGGAGGCAGCAGUGGGGAAUAUUGGACAAGGGGCGAAAGCCUGAUCCAGCAAUGCCGCGUGAGUGAUGAAGGCCUUAGGGUUGUAAAGCUCUUUUACCCGGGAUGAUAAUGACAGUACCGGGAGAAUAAGCGCCGGCUAACUCCGUG
Molecule: ribosomal RNA, 433 nt
Filed under: uncultured bacterium
Lineage: Bacteria
Description: partial 16S ribosomal RNA
Rfam family: Bacterial small subunit ribosomal RNA
Source: RNAcentral